CCUACGGGUGGCAGCAGUGGGGAAUAUUGCACAAUGGGGGAAACCCUGAUGCAGCGACGCCGCGUGAGUGAAGAAGUAAUUCGGUAUGUAAAGCUCUAUCAGCAGGGAAGAAAAUGACGGUACCUGAGUAAGAAUCCCCGGCUAACUACGUGCCAGCAGCCGCGGUAAUACGUAGGGGGCAAGCGUUAUCCGGAGUUACUGGGUGUAAAGGGGGCGUAGGCGGCAGUGCAAGUCUGGGGUGAAAGGCGGGGGCUCAACCCCCGGACUGCUGUGGAAACUGUACGGCUGGAGUGCAGUAGAGGUAAGUGGAAUUCCUAGUGUAGCGGUGAAAUGCGUAGAUAUUAGGAGGAACACCAGUGGCGAAGGCGGCUUACUGGACUGUAACUGACGUUGAGGCUCGAAAGCGUGGGGAGCAAACAGGAUUAGAUACCCGAGUAGUC
Molecule: ribosomal RNA, 440 nt
Filed under: uncultured bacterium
Lineage: Bacteria
Description: partial 16S ribosomal RNA
Rfam family: Bacterial small subunit ribosomal RNA
Source: RNAcentral